Molecule: ribosomal RNA, 487 nt
Filed under: Micrococcaceae bacterium NASA2-24
Lineage: Bacteria; Bacillati; Actinomycetota; Actinomycetes; Micrococcales; Micrococcaceae
Description: bacterial SSU rRNA
Rfam family: Bacterial small subunit ribosomal RNA
Source: RNAcentral
GAUGCAACGCGAAGAACCUUACCAAGGCUUGACAUGUUCUCGAUCGCCGUAGAGAUACGGUUUCCCCUUUGGGGCGGGUUCACAGGUGGUGCAUGGUAUGUCGUCAGCUCGUGUCGUGAGAUGUGGGUUAAGUCCCGCAACGAGCGCAACCCUCGUUCCAUGUUGCCAGCACGUAAUGGUGGGGACUCAUGGGAGACUGCCGGGGUCAACUCGGAGGAAGGUGAGGACGACGUCAAAUCAUCAUGCCCCUUAUGUCUUGGGCUUCACGCAUGCUACAAUGGCCGGUACAAUGGGUUGCGAUACUGUGAGGUGGAGCUAAUCCCAAAAAGCCGGUCUCAGUUCGGAUUGGGGUCUGCAACUCGACCCCAUGAAGUCGGAGUCGCUAGUAAUCGCAGAUCAGCAACGCUGCGGUGAAUACGUUCCCGGGCCUUGUACACACCGCCCGUCAAGUCAUGAAAGUUGGUAACACCAGAAGGCGGAGGCCGAA